RNAcentral lists this ribosomal RNA (468 nucleotides) under uncultured bacterium. RNAcentral describes it as "partial 16S ribosomal RNA". It matches the Rfam family "Bacterial small subunit ribosomal RNA", at positions 28 to 507 of the family's 1533-position model. The record is from RNAcentral.
GACGAACGCUGGCGGCGUGCUUAACACAUGCAAGUCGAACGGAAAGGCCCUGCUUUUGUGGGGUGCUCGAGUGGCGAACGGGUGAGUAACACGUGAGUAACCUGCCCUUGACUUUGGGAUAACUUCAGGAAACUGGGGCUAAUCCCGUAUAGGAUAUCCCGCUCCAUGGUGGGGGUUGGAACGUUUCGGCGGUUGGGGAUGGACUCGCGGCUUAUCAGCUUGUUGGUGGGGUAGUGGAUUACCAAGGCUUUGACGGGUAGCCGGCCUGAGAGGGUGACCGGCCACAUUGGGACUGAGAGACGGACCAGACUCCUACGGGAGGCAGCAGUGGGGAAUAUUGCACAAUGGGCGGGAGCCUGAUGCAGCAACGCCGGGUGCGGGAUGACGGCCUUCGGGUUGUAAAAAGCUUUCGCUUGUGACGAAGCGUGAGUGACGGUAAUGGGUAAAGAAGCACCGGCUAACUACGUG